RNAcentral lists this ribosomal RNA (295 nucleotides) under Ruegeria haliotis. Its description in RNAcentral is "Rhodobacteraceae bacterium B1Z28 partial 16S ribosomal RNA". It matches the Rfam family "Bacterial small subunit ribosomal RNA", at positions 1 to 281 of the family's 1533-position model. Lineage: Bacteria; Pseudomonadati; Pseudomonadota; Alphaproteobacteria; Rhodobacterales; Roseobacteraceae. The record is from RNAcentral.
UUAAUUGAAGAGUUUGAUCAUGGCUCAGAUUGAACGCUGGCGGCAGGCCUAACACAUGCAAGUCGAGCGGAAACGAGUUGUCUGAACCUUCGGGGAACGAUAACGGCGUCGAGCGGCGGACGGGUGAGUAAUGCCUGGGAAAUUGCCCUGAUGUGGGGGAUAACUAUUGGAAACGAUAGCUAAUACCGCAUAACGUCUACGGACCAAAGAGGGGGACCUUCGGGCCUCUCGCUUCAGGAUAUGCCCAGGUGGGAUUAGACAGUUGGUGAGGUAAUGGCUCCCCAAGGCGACGAUC